AUCUCGGUGAACAAGCCAUUCAUCAAUGAAAACAAAUCAAGACCAAAGGCGGGCUGGACAUUCGGACUGUAACCUCAAAACCUGGUGAUUCUCGCAACAGAAUGAACACCAGACUAAAGCAAAGGCAGAAGACAAUAAUGCUGGUUAGGCCUGUAGGCCUGUUCAAGUUUCAUUAACCAUUAUCAUACAGGAAAAGGGGAAUUACAUCCCUGUAUUAAAGGGCUGCCAUCUGGACUUCAACUUUGGAGUUAGAGAUGGCUCACUGGCCACAGUCCCAUCACGAACAACACCAUUAGCCAUCAGCGUCUCCAAGAAUUUGGUCAGCUUCUCCUCAUCAUGUGUUCCAUUGCUACCAGAUGUCUCUAUCAGCAUGUAGAAUGGAAACUCUCCAAUUGGUCGCUGAAGUUUGA
Non-coding RNA from Zootermopsis nevadensis, 410 nucleotides. The record is from RefSeq and is a predicted model, not a curated record. NCBI's taxonomy places the organism in Eukaryota, Metazoa, Arthropoda, Insecta, Blattodea, Termopsidae.